Molecule: ribosomal RNA, 233 nt
Filed under: uncultured bacterium
Lineage: Bacteria
Description: partial 16S ribosomal RNA
Rfam family: Bacterial small subunit ribosomal RNA
Source: RNAcentral
CGGACGGGGUGAGUAAUGUCUGGGAAACUGCCCGAUGGAGGGGGAUAACUACUGGAAACGGUAGCUAAUACCGCAUAACGUCGCAAGACCAAAGAGGGGGACCUUAGGGCCUCUUGCCAUCGGAUGUGCCCAGAUGGGAUUAGCUAGUAGGUGGGGUAAUGGCUCACCCAGGCGACGAUCCCUAGCUGGUCUGAGAGGAUGACCAGCCACACUGGAACUGAGACACGGUCCAG